RNAcentral lists this ribosomal RNA (1546 nucleotides) under marine metagenome. RNAcentral describes it as "bacterial LSU rRNA". It matches the Rfam family "Bacterial large subunit ribosomal RNA", at positions 1406 to 2925 of the family's 2925-position model. The record is from RNAcentral.
AAGGCGUAGUCGAUGGAAAACAGGUUAAUAUUCCUGUACCACCUAUUAGGAGUGAUGGGGUGACGGAGAAGGAUAGAUCAGCCGUGUGUUGGAUUACACGGUUCAAGCUUGUAGGAUUAAGAGAUUGGCAAAUCCGUCUCUUUUUAAGUCCGAGAAGUGAGUACGAGAGGCCCUAGGCCUCAUAAAGUGAUUGAUUCCAUGCUUCCUAGAAAAACCUCUAAAUGUUGAAUAAUAGGUGCUCGUACUGUAAACGGACACACGUACGCGGGUAGAGUAUACCAAGGUGUUUGAGAUAAUUAUGGCCAAGGAACUCGGCAAAAUAGCUCCGUAACUUCGGGAUAAGGAGUGCCUAUGUUAGGUGAAGGAUCUUGCAUCUGGAGCUGAGAUAGGUGACACUGAAAUGAUGGAAGCGACUGUUUACCAAAAACACAGGCCUGUGCUAACCCGCAAGGGGAUGUAUACGGGCUGACGCCUGCCCGGUGCUGGACGGUUAAGGGGACGGGUUAUCCUUCGGGAGAAGCUUGGAACCGAAGCCCCAGUAAACGGCGGCCGUAACUAUAACGGUCCUAAGGUAGCGAAAUUCCUUGUCGUCUAAUUAGCGACCCGCAUGAAUGGCGUAACGACUUCUGUACUGUCUCGGCCAUAAUCUCAGCGAAAUUGUAGUGCUGGUGAAGAUGCCAGCUUCCCGUUGUGGGACGGAAAGACCCCGUGCACCUUUACUAUAACCUAGCACUGGAUUUUGAUGUUAAAUGCGUAGGAUAGGUGGGAGACUAUGAAAGUUUAAUUUUGGUUAAGCUGGAGUCGUUGGUGAAAUACCACCCUUUUGAUGUUAGGAUUCUAACUUAAAUCCGUUAUCCGGAUUGAGGACAAUGUUAGGCGGGUAGUUUGACUGGGGCGGUUGACUCCUAAAGAGUAACGGAGUCGCUCAAAGGUUCUCUCAGCCUGAUUGGAAACCAGGCGUCGAGUGUAAUGGCACAAGAGAGCUUGACUGUGAGAUUGACAAAUCGAGCAGGUACGAAAGUAGGACAUAGUGACCCGGUGGCUUCCAUGUGGGAGGGCCAUCGAUCAUCGGAUAAAAGGUACGCCGGGGAUAACAGAUUAAUCGCGCCCAAGAGUUCACAUCGACGGCGCGGAUUGAUACCUCGAUGUCGGCUCAUCGCAUCCCGGGGCUGUAGAAGGUCCCAAGGGUUGAGCUGUUCGCUCAUUAAAGCGGUACGCGAGCUGGGUUCAGAACGUCGUGAGACAGUUCGGUCCCUAUCUACAACGGGCGAAGGAGAAUUGAGAGGGGUUGCUCAUAGUACGAGAGGACCUGAGUGAACAAACCUCUAGUGUACCAGUUGUUGUGCCAACAGCAGUGCUGGGUAGCUACGUUUGGAAAGGAUAACCGCUGAAAGCAUCUUAAGUGGGAAACCUGCCUCGAGAUUAAUUCUCCCGAACCAUUAGGUUCCUUAAGACCACUCGAAGACUACGAGUUUGAUAGGCACAGUGUGUAAGUUCAGUAAUGAAUUCAGCUAAUGUGUACUAAUCGGUCGUGAGCCUUAACUAC